AACGCCUCACAAAAAGUGUGUUUUGAAUGACCAGUUUCCAGACACCUGAGUGGGUAAUCCUGCCCACAGAAGCAAAGAGCAGAGACUUUCUUUAAAGGCAAGCUGGUGUUACAUCGGUACCAGACCACAAUCUCUGACUACGGAGAGCUGGAAAUCAGCAGUCAAGCAAAGGUGAAAUUCCAGUCAUCCGCAUGGCUAAAAUGCCAGCAAGCAGAAUGUAGUUUUCACACAGCUGGAGAGGUGAAAGCAGGCUGCAGGAAGCAGCCAGGGAGACCUUGGGCAGGAUGGAAGAACCCCAGGGUUAAGACGAGGAGGCCACCCUGCCUGUGCUGCUUCCUUAUCAGGAUACAAGGUACUAAGAUGCCAUCCUUUCUGUCUGACGUCUCCCGUUAAGCCUCUUUGGGGCAGUAAAAGAGACUUUCUAGGUGACUAAAUCAAGAAGUUAAAGACUUUUUCUAUUUUUCUUUUCUGUUUAUUUUCUAAUUCUACUUAUUGCAGUGAUAUUCUGAGCUGGGUACAAGAUUAUAGGACUUACAUGUGAGAGAGGAGAAGGAUGGUGCGAACAUUUGCUGAGUGCUUACUGUAUACCAAGCUCUCGCCGUAAAAGGUCUCCCGUGUUCCUAACAACAAACUGAAAAGAGAUGAGGACCUGGGACUUCCUGAGAGCUCAUAUAUCAAAAGCCGGGAUUUCAGGCUGGAUCCAACUCCGAAACAUGUGUUCUCUUUACCGCGCUGUUCUCUUUUGGAUUCCAAAACUAUGUAAGAGGGACCAGAGGGAGAGAAUUUCUUCAGAGGAAAAGAUCUAAUAUCAUUUGCAAUAUGUUUAAUAUGUUUGCAUAUCUUGUUAGGAAAUCUACGUGGUGCAAAAUGGACCUUGUUUGUUUUUUUUAAAAUAUCUCCUAUAUUCCAAUUUGUAUUUUCUAUUUGGAAUGCUCAUCUAGAAAGUUGCAUCUUGAUGGCUGCAAAAUACUGGUGGAAAUUGCUGCUUUUGCUACAAUAACAUCUAUAAUGCUCUUAGUGAUGGCCUUUUCGCUUGUGGUACUACUUUUUUAACCAGUUGCCAGGAAAAGCAAGCCACUCAAAAGAAGUUUAUUGUGAAGUUACAAUGGGUUAUCUCUGGCCAUCCUGGGGAGGGGAGAUCAAUGUAAAGUUCAUGCAUUGGACUGAAGGCUAGACCGUGAACUGAGGGCUUGCCCGUGUCUCCCACCACUGGCCAUUUUCGUUGCUGUGUUCUCUGGUUGUCCACCCACUUUCCCAAGGGUUUCUGCCUGUAUAUCAGUAUGAUCUUGACACAAAAUAGCCCCCAGGUCUCUCAGUUUCUAUGAUCACUAGGUUGCCAUCCGAAAAAACUCUUGAGCCUCUUUAAUUUCCAGAGAAAAUUCUGACUGUUUAAUGCUAUCGGUGUCUUUGGUCAAAUGCCCUCCGCUGAACCGCUAGUGUCCCUGGGGAAAGUGGUACAAACAUGCCCAUCUCUCUAGCUGGGCUGCAGCUACAGGCAGUUCCUGGAAGAAGGGAUGUCUCUACCCUUAAACAAAAAGGGUACAAAUGUGUUCUUGUCAUUAGAGUGUCUUCAUAUAGUCUUCUUUGAACUAGAAUCAUUUACCCUCAUUUUGCUCUUAAAACUAUGACCAACUGUGUAAGUGGCUUUCCUGUUGUCAUUUGACAAAAUAAACUAGAGACAAAGCCUAGGUUUCUAGGAUCCUUGACUUUCUACCAUAUCAGGCUGCACCUUCUUUCAUGGAAAUGUACAAAACAUUUGAAAGAAUGUUGUCCUGUUUUGCUUUCAGCCUACAGUGUAAUUCUCAUUUAGUACUCAGGAAUGAAUUUUCUGAUUUGAAGCCACAGUGCGUACUGGCUUCUCUUCAUAGAACUACAUUUUUGCGAUUUGUCUAAGAUUUUGUGUUGUACUCCAUUAGAAGUUUGUGAUGUAUUUUCCUAUUCUGACAUUGUAUGAACUUCCAGGAAUGAUGCACACCACACACACACCCAAAAAUUGUGAGUUGUGUUCCGGUCUGUAGAAUGAUUGUAGCUCCAGUUUGUACAUUCCUGAAAGGAACCAUGAUCUGAGGAGUCAUCUUUACAUGCAGGGAGAAAGCCAGGUAUGGUGGUCCAUGCCUGUAAUCCCAGCACUAGAGAGCUGAAUCAGCUGGAGCAUCACAAAUCUGAGGUUAGCCUGGUCUACCCAGCAGUUUCCAGGCCUGCCUAGGCUACAUAGAGAGACUAUGUCUCAAAUAAAUAACAAGGAAAUAAAAUGCAUAGAAUGUUUAUAUUACUUUUCAAUGACUGCCAAACUUCAAACUAAAAAUCAGGAAAAGAAAGAAAGAAAAGAAGAAAAGGAGAGAGAGGGAGGGAAGGAAGGAAGGAAGGAAGAAAGAAAAUUUCUCUGCAGUAAAGUCUGCUAUUUUUUUCCCAAUGUUUAAAGAAGUGAUAGUGUUUGAUAGAUGAAAGGAAUUUGUUUCUGUCCUUAAAAACACACAGUGUGGUAUAAUGAAUAAAUUAAAAUACACAUAUAAAA
Long non-coding RNA from Mesocricetus auratus (golden hamster), 2515 nucleotides. RefSeq lists it as uncharacterized. The record is from RefSeq and is a predicted model, not a curated record. Lineage: Eukaryota; Metazoa; Chordata; Mammalia; Rodentia; Cricetidae. The transcript is spliced from 2 exons.